This 35-nucleotide ribosomal RNA is filed under the name Eriocephalus africanus var. paniculatus. RNAcentral describes it as "18S ribosomal RNA". The record is from RNAcentral. Lineage: Eukaryota; Viridiplantae; Streptophyta; Magnoliopsida; Asterales; Asteraceae.
CGGUUUCCGUAGGUGAACCUGCGGAAGGAUCAUUG